Molecule: unclassified non-coding RNA, 712 nt
Filed under: Hevea brasiliensis (rubber tree)
Lineage: Eukaryota; Viridiplantae; Streptophyta; Magnoliopsida; Malpighiales; Euphorbiaceae
Source: RNAcentral
CACCAACUUGAACCCUUGCCACUACCCACCUACCAUUAGAAAAUAAAAUCUAAAGUAUUAACACAAGUCAAGGUGCUGAAUCAAUUUGGAUCAAAAGAAAAAUAAAUUUCACCCAAUUAAAGUGUGGGACUGAAUUUUUCUAAAUCAUUGCCUAUGCCAAGCUCAAGGUCCAAUUUUGAAAGGCUAGAGAACCAAUGGUGGUGGAAGCCAAGAUCUUUGGUGUUGAUCUAUCAGCCAGCUAUAUUAAUGAAGAUGUGAACGGAUAGGUGCCAAAAUUUAAAUGUGCCAACCAAGGUUGCGGAUAUAGUUGGAAGUGAUGGUGUGCACAAAAGGGAUGGUAAGCUUAUGGAGGAAGAGAAGUUGGUGGUCAAAAAUGGCGAUAAGGUAUGUUUCUUCUGAAUUGGUGCAGCCCCCAAAGAGUGAUUUUGUAGAGUUCCACCUGAUUUGGACCAAGAAGUCUCUUUCUUUAUAAAGAAAUCAGAGAAACGGAAACCAAUCUGACCAAUAAAGGUUUCUGUUUCUCCACCAAACUUUGUGCCCCUAAUGGUGAUAAGGUAUGUUUCUUCUGAAUUGGUGCAGCCCCCAAAGAGUGAUUUUGUAGAGUUCCACCUGAUUUGGACCAAGAAGUCUCUUUCUUUAUAAAGAAAUCAGAGAAACGGAAACCAAUCUGACCAAUAAAGGUUUCUGUUUCUCCACCAAACUUUGUGCCCCU